GUUGAUGCUGCCAAAUUUUUAUUGCUCAAUCAGAUGGAUUCACCAGCGCUAUUCUUUGAAAUUGAUUUAGAGGAAUGCCCAACAACGUCUUCGACUCCCAUAAACGAACAAUUGACAUUAAAACGAAGAAGUAUUUCUGGUUGCUAAACCUCAGAGGCAAGCUUCUCAAAGCAAAAUGUAAGCAAUUUGCUUGUAGAUGGAAACGUGGUUUUUAACAUAUUCAAAACUAUUUCAACCCAACUAGAAGAAUUGACUUCAAGAGUUCGUAAUAUGUAAAAGAAGAAGUACAGCUUUAUGAAAGAAAAUAUAAUUCAAAAAAACGAAGAAAUGGCCCAACAAAAGAACGGUUGCAAAGGCAAGGUGCUAAUUCGUAAAGUUCACCAAUCAGUAUGCCAACUGACUCACGAAGAAAUCGUCAAUGCCCAAGCUGAAAUUGCUUCCCCCUUACCCAUAAGAACAUUAGCUGCAGCUUUCGAAUUGGACGGGAAACCAAAAUGCGAGGAAUUUGCUACAUCAACGGUUAGUAAUACAUAUAUAAGUUAGUGGAUCGACCCUCAUCUCAACUCCCCUAAAGGCAUCAUUGAAUCCGCUCGUGUCUUUUUCUUCAUUAUUACCAUUCAUAAUCUAAUUACGCUUAGCUGUAGUAAUUCUAAAAGAAAAUCAUAUAUGUAAAUGACACCCUACAACAACAAUUAGCAAUUGAUACUGC
Long non-coding RNA from Bactrocera tryoni, 709 nucleotides. RefSeq lists it as uncharacterized. The transcript has 4 exons. NCBI's taxonomy places the organism in Eukaryota, Metazoa, Arthropoda, Insecta, Diptera, Tephritidae. The record is from RefSeq and is a predicted model, not a curated record.